Molecule: long non-coding RNA, 840 nt
Filed under: Homo sapiens (human)
Lineage: Eukaryota; Metazoa; Chordata; Mammalia; Primates; Hominidae
Description: HSALNT0215057
Source: RNAcentral
CAGCACUUCCCCGCCUGUGGGGCACGCCCAGCGCUUGUGUGUGGUAGGGGUCCCAAGCUCAAGGACUUACAGAGUCCUAGGCAGCAGCUGAAGACUUGUAGAGUCUGAGAUAUCAACGUGGGGACGAGCAUGGGGAACUCGCCUGGGUGUGCGUGCUUGUUACCUGCCUGUUCAACUCAAUUGUCACACGUUCCUGGGUGCACAAAAUGAUAGAGGAGUUCAGACAAAGAUCGACAGAAAGAGAGAAAGAAUGAAGUUCUGAGAGGUCAGGACAUUUUUUUGUACAAAGGAGGACACUGAGCUGGCUUUGAAGCAUGAAAAGGACCUCCCAGACAGUGGAUGUGGGAACAGGUGUGGGACUUCCAGGCAGACAGACCGACUGGAGACGAGUGUGAUGUGAUGAGCUGUGGAGUGUAGGGGAUGUCACAGAAUAUCACUCUGGAUGGAUGGCUGUUCCUGGGGUGUCCACUGGGAACCAGGCAUGGCACUAGUGCAGCUGUAAUGAUAAGAGUGAGCCUGGCUGAGUUGCAUCCUCCCAAAAUUCAUACACUGAAGUCCUAACCCUCAAUAUUUCAAAAUGUGACUGUAUUUGGAGAUAGAGACUUUAAAGAGGUUAUUAAGUUAGAAUGAGGUCAUUGGGGGGCCCUAAUUCUAUAAGACUGGUGGAGAUGAGGAGAGGAGAGGAAGUUAGAACUCAGGCACAUGCAGAGGAGGACCAUGUGAAGACAUAGGGAGAGGAGAGCCACCUGCAAACCAAGGGGAGAGGCCUCAGGGAAACCAGCCCUGCACUUGCCUUGAUCUUCGAUUCAAGCUCCAGAAUCAAGCUUGAAUCAAUUUCAG